GUGUCAGCCGCCGCGGUAAUACGGAGGGUGCGAGCGUUAAUCGGAAUGACUGGGCAUAAAGGGCGCGUAGGCGGAUUGAUAAGUUAGAUGUUAAAGGCACGGGCUUAACCUGUGAUUGGCAUAUAAUACUGUUAGUCUUGAGUGCGAGAGAGGGGGGUAGAAUUUCCGGUGUAGCGGUGAAAUGCGUAGAUAUCGGAAGGAAUACCGGUGGCGAAGGCGGCCCCCUGGUUCGACACUGACGCUGAGGCGCGAAAGCGUGGGUAGCGAACAGGAUUAGAUACCCUGGUAGUCCACGCUGUAAACGAUGAGAACUAGCUGUUGGUGGUAUAUAAACCAUCAGUGGCGUAGCAAAUGCGCUAAGUUUUCCGCCUGGGGAGUACGACCGCAAGGUUAAAACUCAAAUGAAUUGACGGGGGCCCGCACAAGCGGUGGAGCAUGUGGUUUAAUUCGAUGCAACGCGAAGAACCUUACCUACUCUUGACAUCCUGAGAACUCAGUAGAGAUAUUGAGGUGCCUUCGGGAACUUAGAGACAGGUGCUGCAUGGCUGUCGUCAGCUCGUGUCGUGAGAUGUUGGGUUAAGUCCCGUAACGAGCGCAACCCCUAUUGCUAGUUGCCAUCAAGUAAUGUUGGGCACUCUAGUGAGACUGCCGGUGACAAGCCGGAGGAAGGUGGGGACGACGUCAAGUCAUCAUGGCCCUUACGAGUAGGGCUACACACGUGCUACAAUGGGGAGUACAGAGGGAUGYRAAGCCGUGAGGCCAAGCGGACCCCAGAAAGCUUCUCGUAGUCCGGAUUGGAGUCUGCAACUCGACUUCAUGAAGUUGGAAUCGCUAGUAAUCGCGAAUCAGAAUGUCGCGGUGAAUACGUUCCCGGGCCUUGCACACACCGCCCGUC
This 895-nucleotide ribosomal RNA is filed under the name uncultured bacterium. Its description in RNAcentral is "bacterial SSU rRNA". It matches the Rfam family "Bacterial small subunit ribosomal RNA", at positions 505 to 1398 of the family's 1533-position model. The record is from RNAcentral.